UUAGGAUGGUGUGGAGGUUUUUGGCUGGUUUUGGUUAGGUUUGGGGUUGAUGGAAGGCCUGGGGGAUUUGGGUUAUGGGAUGUUAUUAUGUUUGGUUAGCGUUGUGUCUGGUAUUAAGUUUUGCUGUGAUAAGUGUGUCUCUCAGGUUAGUAUUACGUUGGUAGGCUACAAUUGGAGGUUCUUGCCAUAGACUCCUCAGUGUGGGGUCAUUCUCCAAUAUGUUCCAGUGUUUACGUAGGAUGUUUGCAAUGUAUUUUGUGUUUGUGUUGUAUGGAAUGGAGAAAAUUGGGCGGCUUGUGUUUUUUUGGCUUUGUUUCCUAUUGAGUAGGUCUGUUUGGGUGUAUUGUAGGGCUUUGUUGAAGUUGGUGGUGAUGGUGUCGUGGUCAUAUCCGCGAUGGAUCAGUGCAAUCAGGAGGUGGUUUAGUCGUUGUUGUAAUUUGUUGUUGUCUGUAAUUAUGCGUCUGUAUCGUAGAGCCUGACUGUAGAUGACUGCGUUCUUGCAUGUGGUGGGGUGGAAUGAGCUUUUGUGUAGUAGAAGGGUUUUGUCAGUUGGUUUAAUGUACAGGUCUGAUUCCAGUUUGUUGUUUUUGUUUUUGUAGAUAGUUGUGUCAAGGAAGUUGACAGAUUUCUCAGAGAAGGAAAAGUCAAAUUUGAUGGUAUAAGAUUUUCAGGAGCUUGUUGGAGGAGCUCCUGUUCAAGUGCUGCCAUGAAUAUGUUUGCAUAGGGGUAAUUGUGUUGAUUUCUUUCAACAUGUCUAUACAGGCUUGGAUGCCUUGAUCAUUAGAUCAUGGAUGGUUUUAAGGCUUUGUGAGGAUAAGUUGGUUUUUGUAGUUUGUUUUUGUGUUCCAAAUUCAAUUUUGAGAUCGUAGAGUACAUUUGAUAUGUAUUCUAACAGGUUGCUGUUGUCGGGGUUUGGUGCUGUGAAGUUACUGGGUAGUUUAAAUGGAUGUUUUUUAGUGUCCUUUCUGUUUCUGAAGAAAUAUUUAUUGUACAUGCUUUUUUUAUAUUUCAGAAAAGAGGCAUAUAUGGUCUUGUAUGGUGUGUGUUUGGGUGUCGGGACAAAGGCCUUCUAUUAUUGAAUCAGUUUCCUGAUCGGAUAUGAUCAAUUUGUG
RNAcentral lists this long non-coding RNA (1112 nucleotides) under Dendronephthya gigantea. RNAcentral describes it as "uncharacterized LOC114536509, transcript variant X5". The record is from RNAcentral. Lineage: Eukaryota; Metazoa; Cnidaria; Anthozoa; Malacalcyonacea; Nephtheidae.